UACGGGGGGGGCAAGCGUUGUUCGGAAUUACUGGGCGUAAAGGGCUCGUAGGUGGCCAACUAAGUCAAACGUGAAAUCCCUCGGCUUAACCGGGGAACUGCGUCUGAUACUGGAUGGCUUGAGUUUGGGAGAGGGAUGCGGAAUUCCAGGUGUAGCGGUGAAAUGCGUAGAUAUCUGGAGGAACACCGGUGGCGAAGGCGGCAUCCUGGACCGACACUGACGCUGAGGAGCGAAAGCCAGGGGAGCAAACGGG
This 253-nucleotide ribosomal RNA is filed under the name uncultured bacterium. RNAcentral's name for it is "partial 16S ribosomal RNA". It matches the Rfam family "Bacterial small subunit ribosomal RNA", at positions 524 to 776 of the family's 1533-position model. The record is from RNAcentral.